Molecule: ribosomal RNA, 396 nt
Filed under: uncultured bacterium
Lineage: Bacteria
Description: partial 16S ribosomal RNA
Rfam family: Bacterial small subunit ribosomal RNA
Source: RNAcentral
AUACGUAGGGGGCGAGCGUUGUCCGGAAUGAUUGGGCGUAAAGGGCGCGUAGGCGGCCUGUUAAGUCUGGAGUGAAAGUCCUGUUUUCAAGAUGGGAAUUGCUUUGGAUACUGAUGGGCUUGAGUGCAGGAGAGGUUAUCGGAAUUCCCGGUGUAGCGGUGAAAUGCGUAGAGAUCGGGAGGAACACCAGUGGCGAAGGCGGGUAACUGGACUGCAACUGACGCUGAGGCGCGAAAGUGUGGGGAGCAAACAGGAUUAGAUACCCUGGUAGUCCACAUUGUAAACGAUGAAUUCUAGGUGUAAGAGGUAUCGACCCCUUCUGUGCCGCAGUCAACACAAUAAGCAUUCCGCCUGGGGAGUACGGCCGCAAGGUUGAAACUCAAAUGAAUUGACGGG